UACGUAGGUGGCAAGCGUUGUCCGGAUUUAUUGGGUUUAAAGGGUGCGUAGGCGGUUCUAUAAGUCAGUGGUGAAAUACGGCAGCUCAACUGUCGAGGUGCCAUUGAUACUGUAGAACUUGAGUACAGACGAGGUAGGCGGAAUUGACGGUGUAGCGGUGAAAUGCUUAGAUAUCGUCAAGAACACCGAUAGCGAAGGCAGCUUACUAGGCUGUAACUGACGCUGAGGCACGAAAGUGUGGGGAUCAAACAGG
RNAcentral lists this ribosomal RNA (253 nucleotides) under uncultured bacterium. RNAcentral's name for it is "partial 16S ribosomal RNA". It matches the Rfam family "Bacterial small subunit ribosomal RNA", at positions 524 to 776 of the family's 1533-position model. The record is from RNAcentral.